Molecule: transfer RNA, 72 nt
Filed under: Ovis aries (sheep)
Lineage: Eukaryota; Metazoa; Chordata; Mammalia; Artiodactyla; Bovidae
Rfam family: tRNA
About the family: Transfer RNA (tRNA) molecules are approximately 80 nucleotides in length. Their secondary structure includes four short double-helical elements and three loops (D, anti-codon, and T loops).
Source: Rfam by way of RNAcentral
UCCCUGGUGGCUCAGAUGGUAAAGCGUCUGCCUGCAAUGCAGGAGACCUGGGUUUGAUUCCUGGGUAGGGAA